This 694-nucleotide ribosomal RNA is filed under the name uncultured Bacteroidales bacterium. RNAcentral describes it as "bacterial SSU rRNA". It matches the Rfam family "Bacterial small subunit ribosomal RNA", at positions 32 to 715 of the family's 1533-position model. Lineage: Bacteria; Pseudomonadati; Bacteroidota; Bacteroidia; Bacteroidales. The record is from RNAcentral.
AACGCUAGCUACAGGCUUAACACAUGCAAGUCGAGGGGCAGCAGGGAGAUAGCUUGCUAUCUUUGCUGGCGACCGGCGCACGGGUGAGUAACGCGUAUCCAACCUACCCCGUACUCAGGGAUAGCCCGUUGAAAGACGGAUUAAUACCUGAUGUUCUCCUUUAUCGGCAUCAUUAUUGGAGCAAAGAUUGAUCGGUACGGGCUGGGGAUGCGUCUGAUUAGCUUGCCGGCAGGGUAACGGCCUACCGGGGCAACGAUCAGUAGGGGUUCUGAGAGGAAGGUCCCCCACAUUGGAACUGAGACACGGUCCAAACUCCUACGGGAGGCAGCAGUGAGGAAUAUUGGUCAAUGGAGGCAACUCUGAACCAGCCAAGUAGCGUGCAGGAUGACGGCCCUAUGGGUUGUAAACUGCUUUUAUGCGGGGAUAAAUGAGCCUACGUGUAGGUUUUUGCAGGUACCGCAUGAAUAAGGACCGGCUAAUUCCGUGCCAGCAGCCGCGGUGAUACGGAAGGUCCGGGCGUUAUCCGGAUUUAUUGGGUUUAAAGGGAGCGUAGGCGGUCUGUUAAGCGUGUUGUGGAAUGUGGGUGCUCAACAUCUGCACUGCAGCGCGAACUGGCGGACUUGAGUUGGCUGAAAGUAUGCGGAAUUCGUGGUGUAGCGGUGAAAUGCUUAGAUAUCACGAAGAACUCCGAUUG